This is a long non-coding RNA of Oncorhynchus tshawytscha (Chinook salmon), 1399 nucleotides long. NCBI's taxonomy places the organism in Eukaryota, Metazoa, Chordata, Actinopteri, Salmoniformes, Salmonidae. The record is from Ensembl.
CACCGACUUGCAGUUCGAGUUGAUUUAAUCUCAUGUGCUUGUGUUUGCGUUCACAUGCAUGUACACUCAUACACACAUACUGCCUAAACAUAUUCAUCCUGAGAAUUAUAUUUUAAUUAGAACUAGGUCUACUUGAGACGGAAUGAAGCUUUUAAAAGCUUUUUAGAUUUUGAACAAGAUUAACUAGGAAAUGUAACAAACAAUCAAUCUUUGACUUUAGGCCUAUUUUGUAAAACAGGACAGUGGAACAGAGGAAUGUAGCCCAACUUUUAUUAUGGUCUGUGUAUAUAGAAAGUAUCUGACUAAUCUCAAGUCACUGUGUGUGUGUGUGUGUGUGUGUAUUUACGUCGACCUGCUCCAUUUCUGCCUUGUCCCACCCAGUUGUUGUUGACGUUCGGCUGUGUUGAGAGCAGAGGUCCCUGAACUCCUUGAGCCUGCUGUUUUGCAUCGUUAUCUGAGAUCUAGCUCUCUCCUCAGGCCUCCAACAGGAUCACUGAAACACCUGGUGUUAGUGGAGCAGAGGCGGGGUCACCCCCCCAGUAAACACAAGAUCAGUAAAAGUGUGUGUGUUGAGAGAUUGACAGGGGCUGGGAGCAGAAGUUUAAAUGGCUGAUAGACUGAAUGAAAACACAGUGUGUUUUGCCUUAGCGUUACUUAGGUGACAUUGGAACCACCACUCUAAGUGGUACCACAUGGUGGUGUGUGUGUUCAUACGUGCAUUCCUGUGUUUUCAUCUAUUGCCCAGGACCUGCACCCAGUAUCAAAUAGCAUAUGCUACAGGAAGUAGCAUAUAUGGAGAUAGAGCACUGUUUGGCUAAAGUUGUCCAAAUAGGAACGCCAGCUCAAUUUGUGAUACUUGCCAAACUUGCCAAUUCAAUCCAUUAUAUACAGCAUUUCAUUAACAGAACACACAAGUCAGAUGAUGAUUCCACACUGCUUUAGAAACUAUUCAAGUGUUUUGAAUAGAGAACAUAAUUGCCAGCCGCACAUCUUGUCAACGCAAACAGCCAAAUAGUCUCAAAGACAAAAGAAAAUCCAGUCUCCAUUUGUUGGACAUUGUGUGUAUCUGUGUGGCAGAAAAUCAGCUCAUUCAGAGUCUCUACAGUACCACCACACUGCCCCAAUAUCAAGCCUGUUAUUUUCUCAGCCAUUGUUAAACCCCCAUGGUUGGUUGAGCCUAAUCUCUCUCUCUCUCUCUCUCUCUUUACUGUGUGAGAUAAACAGCUACAGUACUGUCUUUACUGUGUGAGGUAAACAGCUACAGUAUUGUCUUUACUGUGAGGUGAACAGCUACAGUACUGUCUUUACUGUGUGAGAUAAACAGCUACAGUAUUGUCUUUACUGUGUGGUGAACAGCUACAGUACUGUCUUUACUGUGUGGUGAACAGCUACAGUAUUG